Molecule: ribosomal RNA, 497 nt
Filed under: uncultured bacterium
Lineage: Bacteria
Description: partial 16S ribosomal RNA
Rfam family: Bacterial small subunit ribosomal RNA
Source: RNAcentral
GAUGAACGCUGGCGGCGUGCCUAAUACAUGCAAGUCGAGCGAACAGAUGAGGAGCUUGCUCCUCUGACGUUAGCGGCGGACGGGUGAGUAACACGUGGAUAACCUACCUAUAAGACUGGGAUAACUUCGGGAAACCGGAGCUAAUACCGGAUAAUAUAUUGAACCGCAUGGUUCAAUAGUGAAAGACGGUUUUGCUGUCACUUAUAGAUGGAUCCGCGCCGCAUUAGCUAGUUGGUAAGGUAACGGCUUACCAAGGCAACGAUGCGUAGCCGACCUGAGAGGGUGAUCGGCCACACUGGAACUGAGACACGGUCCAGACGCCUACGGGAGGCAGCAGUAGGGAAUCUUCCGCAAUGGGCGAAAGCCUGACGGAGCAACGCCGCGUGAGUGAUGAAGGUCUUCGGAUCGUAAAACUCUGUUAUUAGGGAAGAACAAAUGUGUAAGUAACUAUGCACGUCUUGACGGUACCGAAUCAGAAAGCCACGGCUAACUACGUG